This 75-nucleotide transfer RNA is filed under the name bacterium. RNAcentral's name for it is "tRNA-Met". It matches the Rfam family "tRNA". Rfam says of the family: Transfer RNA (tRNA) molecules are approximately 80 nucleotides in length. The record is from RNAcentral.
UACGGAGUAGAACAGCUUGGAGUGUUCGCUGGGCUCAUAACCCAGAGGUCGCAGGUUCAAAUCCUGCCUCCGUAA